This 1892-nucleotide long non-coding RNA is filed under the name Triticum aestivum (bread wheat). RNAcentral describes it as "long non-coding RNA (TAES_LNC000800)". Lineage: Eukaryota; Viridiplantae; Streptophyta; Magnoliopsida; Poales; Poaceae. The record is from RNAcentral.
AACAUUUAUUUGACCAAACAAGAUAUCUAUAUCUUCUAUAAUAUUGUGGUAUUAAUACCAUUGAAAGAGAGAAAUAAAUGCAAGAUCGUUGCCUAAUAUUUAACUAUGACUCUAUAUAGAUACUAGUACUACAUAUAAAUAACGUGAAAUAUAUACCAUUUAUAUAAAAGAGUAAAUGCAUUUAUGUAGAACCAAAAAGAUAUGAAAACAAUAAUGAGAAGAUAUACUUGGAUGCGAGAUCAUUACAUAAGAUGCCAUUGGGCUUCUCUAAUAAAUAGCAGUGAGCGAAUGAAUUGGCAAGACAAAAACACACAGGAAUAGAAGAAGGAAGGAGGAAUAGAAUAGAAGAAGUAAUCUCUUUGUUCUGAUGGCACUCACCAAGAGCACUACAACACGAUCGAAAAUUGUGUGCUCGGUGGUUGUUGCAUUCCUGGUGCUUGCUGUGAUAUCUUCUACCUUGCGAUCCUGCCAUGCACGCACUGGUAUGCAAGACAUCUCCUUAUUUCAAAUUCAUAAAUUUGUUAAUGCUUUGGUACACCAGCUUAGAAAAGUUUACACGAAUGUUAAAACUGCUUUAGAAAGGGUAUUUGUGUACGUUGAUGAUUAACUAAUUAUAACCCCUAUCUUCCUGAUAGCUCAAUGAACAGACCAGAACCAACUGUGUGGCACCCGCUCAAUCUAGAACCAACAAUGGCUAGCCUUCUCUAUGACAACCACUGCUUUUGUGGCCUGCCAAUAUCCCACAAGAAGGACGUAUAUCAUGCCCUCGUAGUCUUCUUGAUUACUGAGCUUGAUGCAUGAUGGAGUGUGUUUCAGUUUUUUCAGUAGCUAGUACGGUAGGUAGAACAGAGCUUGAGCACGAAAUUUGAACUGAAGACCAUUAUAUGGCCCCAAUUACUGUAGGGUAGGAGACUUAAAAGAUCAGAGUUUUCGUAUCAAAUUAGAUCGCUAGCGGGUGGCGGCCGUACGCGAAACCAUUAUGGCGCGACAGGCUUGCAACAAGUCCACCCUCGACAGUGCUAUACCCAUGUCUAUUGCUGCAGCAGCCUGCAGAUCAAACAUUGAAACGAUAUAUUUGGACAUAAAAGACUAUAUACUAGCCUUUUUUGAUUGAAGGGGUAACUCUUAAUGUCCAACUUUGGUCUUCUACGCAAGUUGUGCACUUUUAUAAGGUGGUGUGCAUAAGCAAACCUGUUUCAACCUAUCAAAAAAAAAAUACUGGUUUGAUAAGUGUGUACUACAUGUGUAUUUUGCAGAACCUAAUAAACCGCCGGUGUGCGUGCGGAUGGAUCCGUGUUUCGAGCGCACUACAUGCUGGGAAAUGUGCGUGGAUAUGGGUUUCCUUGUCCCCCAUCCCCGUUGUAAGCGGAGCGUAGAUCAGCUUUGUUGCUGCCUAGACAGGACCCGUAAAGCUCAUUGAUGGUUCUCUUCCUGAGCUAUGCAAUGCUGAAUAAUUGUACGCUUGUGAUGAGCGUGUGCUAAUCUUAAUAAAAAUAUUAAUUUUUUUUCAUAUUGUCUGUUGUCUGUCUUAUGCUCACAAAUAUAAUGAUUAUCAUCUAUUGUUUGUCAUUUUUUUAUUUUGAGAAAGUCUAUUAUCUGUCUUGUGCAUGGAAAAGAUUGUAUAUCUCUGUCCAUGGGUGCAUGUAACUUUCAUUUGCAGACUCAUUUGAGUUAUCAGCAGUGUAUCUAAAGCAACCCAAUUUUUAGACAAUAAAACAUUUCUUUUCCAGAAAAUAGCCCAUUAAAUUGCACUGGUUUCCUAUCACUCAAAUACUGCUCGUCAAAAUGAAAUCUAAUGAACAACACCUCUCUAGGAUCCAUGUGACUACCCUAUAAUCAUACAGAAGAGACACGAGCAGAAUGUGUGGCAUGUCCUUAUUCACAAAUGGAAG